This 191-nucleotide non-coding RNA is filed under the name Clostridium gallinarum. RNAcentral's name for it is "Clostridium sp. Sa3CUN1 6S RNA". It matches the Rfam family "6S / SsrS RNA". From Rfam's summary of the family: E. coli 6S RNA was the first non coding RNA to be sequenced, but its function was unknown until recently. The record is from RNAcentral. Lineage: Bacteria; Bacillati; Bacillota; Clostridia; Eubacteriales; Clostridiaceae.
UUAAUCCUGAGAUGUUCGCUUAGCUUAAAAUAUUCAACCUACAUUGAAUAUACGGGAUUUGUGAUAUCUAGUUGUAUGUCGGGCUUCAGUAAUUCACAAUUUGUGGCGGAAGAAGACAAAAAAUUAGUGAACUUAACCCACCUGCGAGGAGCAGGUAUGAAUAUUUAAGUGACCGGCAUGUUGGGAAUAUA